GGGCUCAUAGCUCAGUUGGUUAGAGCGUACGGCUGAUAACCGUAAGGUGCGUGGUUCGAGUCCACGUGGGCCCA
RNAcentral lists this transfer RNA (74 nucleotides) under Candidatus Margulisiibacteriota bacterium. RNAcentral's name for it is "tRNA-Ile". It matches the Rfam family "tRNA". Rfam says of the family: Transfer RNA (tRNA) molecules are approximately 80 nucleotides in length. The record is from RNAcentral. Lineage: Bacteria; Bacillati; Candidatus Margulisiibacteriota.